AAUUCUCAACCCCUCUCGAUUUGCUUCGAGCGGGUGCUUGGAUGUUGGGGGCUGCCGGAGACUUGGAUUCGUCCAGGACUCGGGCUCUCCUUAAAUGAAUCGGCUUGCGGUCGACUUUCGACUUUGCGCGACAAGGCUUUCGGCGUGAUAAUGAUCGCCGUUCGCUGAAGCGCAUGAAUGAAGGUCUCGCGCCUCUAACACGUCGACCCGCCCAACGGCCCGUCUUCUUUCUUGAC
RNAcentral lists this unclassified non-coding RNA (236 nucleotides) under uncultured Suillus. RNAcentral describes it as "sequence contains ITS2". The record is from RNAcentral. Lineage: Eukaryota; Fungi; Basidiomycota; Agaricomycetes; Boletales; Suillaceae.